GACGGAGGGUGCUAGCGUUGUUCGGAAUGACUGGGCGUAAAGGGCGCGUAGGCGGCCGGUUGCGUCGGAUGUGAAAGCCCGGGGCUCAACCCCGGGUCGGCCGUCGAUACUCUCGUGCUUGAGCACUGUAGAGGCAGGUGGAAUUCCGGGUGUAGCGGUGGAAUGCGUAGAGAUCCGGAAGAACACCGGUGGCGAAGGCGGCCUGCUGGGCAGUAGCUGACGCUGAGGCGCGACAGCGUGGGGAGCAAACAGG
Molecule: ribosomal RNA, 253 nt
Filed under: uncultured bacterium
Lineage: Bacteria
Description: partial 16S ribosomal RNA
Rfam family: Bacterial small subunit ribosomal RNA
Source: RNAcentral